This 505-nucleotide ribosomal RNA is filed under the name Copidosoma nr. exiguum 1 YZZ-2014. Its description in RNAcentral is "eukaryotic LSU rRNA". Lineage: Eukaryota; Metazoa; Arthropoda; Insecta; Hymenoptera; Encyrtidae. The record is from RNAcentral.
CCUGAGAAAUCCAAAAGUUCGAAUGGAGAGAUUCAGCGUCAGUGGUCGCUGGCUUGCGUGUUGUCGCGAUGCUCGGGCGUGCUAGAUGCCUUCGGGUGUUUGGCGCGACCGUGGCACGCGAUUGCUGCGUCAUGUCCGGCGUCAUCGGCGUGCACUUCUCUCCUAGUAGGACGUCGCGACCCGUUGGGUGUCGAUCAACGGCCCGUACGAUAGUCUGUCGCGCUCCGGCGCGUCAGAUCCUCGGUGCUUGUUUUAACCCGAUCGACUGCCCGACGGUAUUGAAUGCUUUUUACAAUCAAGAUUGGUAUCGAGCCGCAAUUUCGAAUGCGUUCGGCUUGUCGAUCGUUCGGGGUCUCGCUCGGAUUUAACGGACCCAGUUCCGUUGCCGUGCGCCUGGCUCUAUCGUUCGACAAUGUCCUCGAACUGGCUCCGGGAAGGAGGGCCUCGCGUCCAAAUUCCCACACACUUACCGGUCAGCGACGCUUUUGCUUUGGAUACUUUCAGG